GAUGAACGCUGGCGGCGUGCCUAAUACAUGCAAGUCGAGCGAACGGACGAGAAGCUUGCUUCUCUGAUGUUAGCGGCGGACGGGUGAGUAACACGUGGAUAACCUACCUAUAAGACUGGGAUAACUUCGGGAAACCGGAGCUAAUACCGGAUAAUAUUUUGAACCGCAUGGUUCAAAAGUGAAAGACGGUCUUGCUGUCACUUAUAGAUGGAUCCGCGCUGCAUUAGCUAGUUGGUAAGGUAACGGCUUACCAAGGCAACGAUGCAUAGCCGACCUGAGAGGGUGAUAGGCAACACGGGAACUGAGACACGGUCCAGACUCCUACGGGAGGCAGCAGUAGGGAAUCUUCCGCAAUGGGCGAAAGCCUGACGGAGCAACGCCGCGUGAGUGAUGAAGGUCUUCGGAUCGUAAAACUCUGUUAUUAGGGAAGAACAUAUGUGUAAGUAACUGUGCACAUCUUGACGGUACCUAAUCAGAAAGCCACGGCUAACUACGUG
RNAcentral lists this ribosomal RNA (497 nucleotides) under uncultured bacterium. Its description in RNAcentral is "partial 16S ribosomal RNA". It matches the Rfam family "Bacterial small subunit ribosomal RNA", at positions 28 to 507 of the family's 1533-position model. The record is from RNAcentral.